CAGCACAGAGCAUCAUCACCACAGCACAGAGCAUCACCACAGCACAGAGCAGAGCGUCACCACAGCACAGAGCAGAGCGUCACCACAGCACAGAGCAUCACCACCACAGCACAGAGCAUCACCACAACACAUAGUAUCGUAGUAUAGAGCAUAAUCUUUGGGACCUGCUUGCAGAAGACAGAGAGGAGGCCAUUAUUACUAAGAGCAUUAGUGAGGACUGGUAAGGUGCCUCUGUGAGUAAAAGCACUGGCUCACAAACCAAACCUGAUCUGACUUGCAAGAAAUCCCUGGGACCAAGAUGCUGGAGGAAAGACCCAAUUUCCCCAAAAAAGUUGUCUUUGGACCUCCACCCAUGCAUAUGCCUGAGAUGCCUCCACUUCACACCUCUAGGAUCCUACCACUUCACACCUCCAGGAUCCCACCACUUCACCCCUCCAGGAUCCUACCACUUCACACCUCCAGGAUUCCUCCACUUCACAUCUCCAAGAUCCCUCCACUUCAUACCUCCAGGAUCCCUCCACCUCAUACCUCCAGGAUCCCUCCACCUCACACCUCCAGGAUCCCUCCACCACACACUUCCCAGUCACUCUCAUGGACCCCUGCUGGCAGAAGAGUGUGUGGGGGGGGCCAUAAACAGGGGUGGGGCUGGAAGUGUAAGUAGGUAGGUACAUGUGCAUGUAUAUAUUGUAAAGGUGGCAUAAUAAGAACCAAGUGACCUCAAAUUUAUAUCCUAGAAACUUUAGAGAUCAACAAUGAAGAGAUUUUCAUAAAGGCCUAAGGGUAGACAUUGUUCCACAAAAAUCCACAAAAAUGACCAAUAUUUGUAGCUCUCUCCCUACAGUUGAUUAAGGUAAUAACUACAGCUGCCACUAGAGGGAACCCUUGUCCUAUGCUGCACACUCGGGUCACAGCCUGGACUCCAGAGGCAAGGUCUGCCUGGAACAGAGAACCAGAGGCCAGUGGCCACUCCAGUACAGUGUAAGCUCUGUGAGCCCUGUAACCUGACAACAAGUUUGGCAUAAGGCAUACAAAGCCACUGUUCAACCUUCCUUCCAUACAUUCUCAGGUUUGAAGAACAGAAGAUGAAGAUGUAUUUAUUAGUAAGAUAAUCUUAUUAAUAUUGGUCUCAUUACUCACCUAUAAGACGUAUGAGGCCCAGGCAGUGUCUAUCUAUGACCUUGCAUUAACUCCGACACUUUGGAAAGAUCUAGGUAGAUGGAAGUUAAUGACGCUGGGGAUUCCCACACUGUGUGCCAGAGCAAACUUACAGGAGCACAGUGCUAUUUUGCAUUACAUUAAAAAAAUUACUUUAUUAUUA
Grammomys surdaster is the source of this 1318-nucleotide long non-coding RNA. RefSeq lists it as uncharacterized. Lineage: Eukaryota; Metazoa; Chordata; Mammalia; Rodentia; Muridae. The record is from RefSeq and is a predicted model, not a curated record. The transcript has 2 exons.